RNAcentral lists this ribosomal RNA (497 nucleotides) under uncultured bacterium. RNAcentral's name for it is "partial 16S ribosomal RNA". It matches the Rfam family "Bacterial small subunit ribosomal RNA", at positions 28 to 507 of the family's 1533-position model. The record is from RNAcentral.
GAUGAACGCUGGCGGCGUGCCUAAUACAUGCAAGUCGAGCGAACAGACGAGGAGCUUGCUCCUCUGACGUUAGCGGCGGACGGGUGAGUAACACGUGGAUAACCUACCUAUAAGACUGGGAUAACUUCGGGAAACCGGAGCUAAUACCGGAUAAUAUAUUGAACCGCAUGGUUCAAUAGUGAAAGACGGUUUUGCUGUCACUUAUAGAUGGAUCCGCGCCGCAUUAGCUAGUUGGUAAGGUAACGGCUUACCAAGGUAACGAUGCGUAGCCGACCUGAGAGGGUGAUCGGCCACACUGGAACUGAGACACGGUCCAGACUCCUACGGGAGGCAGCAGUAGGGAAUCUUCCGCAAUGGGCGAAAGCCUGACGGAGCAACGCCGCGUGAGUGAUGAAGGUCUUCGGAUCGUAAAACUCUGUUAUUGGGGAAGAACAAAUGUGUAAGUAACUAUGCACGUCUUGACGGUACCUAAUCAGAAAGCCACGGCUAACUACGUG